AGCUUCGGCGAAGCUUCUGAUCGAAGCCCUGGUAAAAGGCGGCCGUAACUAUAACGGUCCUAAGGUAGCGAAAUUCCUUGUCGGGUAAGUUCCGACCUGCACGAAUGGCGUAACGAUGGCCACACUGUCUCCACCCGAGACUCAGUGAAAUUGAAAUCGCUGUGAAGAUGCAGUGUACCCGCGGCUAGACGGAAAGACCCCGUGAACCUUUACUACAGCUUUGCACUGAACUUUGAACCUGUUUGUGUAGGAUAGGUGGGAGACUUUGAAGCGACCGCGCUAGCGGUCGUGGAGUCAACCUUGAAAUACCACCCUGACAUGUUUGGGGUUCUAACCUAGGCCCGUGAAUCCGGGCCAGGAACAGUGUAUGGUGGGUAGUUUGACUGGGGCGGUCUCCUCCCAAAGAGUAACGGAGGAGCGCGAUGGUACCCUAAGCACGGUCGGAAAUCGUGCGUUUAGUGCAAAGGCAUAAGGGUGCUUAACUGCGAGACAGACAUGUCGAGCAGGUACGAAAGUAGGUCUUAGUGAUCCGGUGGUUCUGAAUGGAAGGGCCAUCGCUCAACGGAUAAAAGGUACUCCGGGGAUAACAGGCUGAUACUACCCAAGAGUUCAUAUCGACGGUAGUGUUUGGCACCUCGAUGUCGGCUCAUCACAUCCUGGGGCUGAAGCAGGUCCCAAGGGUAUGGCUGUUCGCCAUUUAAAGUGGUACGCGAGCUGGGUUUAGAACGUCGUGAGACAGUUCGGUCCCUAUCUACCGUGGGUGUUUGAGACUUGAAGGAAGCUGCUCCUAGUACGAGAGGACCGGAGUGGACGUACCUCUGGUGUUCCGGUUGUUACGCCAGUAGCAUUGCCGGGUAGCUAUGUACGGAAGGGAUAACUGCUGAAAGCAUCUAAGCGGGAAGCCCCUCCUGAAAUGAGGUCUCACCGGGAAUUCAAUUCCCCUGAAGGGCCCUGGAAGACGACCAGGUUGAUAGGCUGGGUGUGGAAGUCCAGUAAUGGAUGAAGCUAACCAGUACUAAUUGCCCGUGAGGCUUGACCAU
This 1040-nucleotide ribosomal RNA is filed under the name Gammaproteobacteria bacterium. Its description in RNAcentral is "partial 23S ribosomal RNA". It matches the Rfam family "Bacterial large subunit ribosomal RNA", at positions 1892 to 2925 of the family's 2925-position model. Lineage: Bacteria; Pseudomonadati; Pseudomonadota; Gammaproteobacteria. The record is from RNAcentral.